Equus caballus (horse) is the source of this 1420-nucleotide long non-coding RNA. NCBI's taxonomy places the organism in Eukaryota, Metazoa, Chordata, Mammalia, Perissodactyla, Equidae. The record is from Ensembl.
GAUGAGAUGACCAAAUUCUGCGAGUGUGGGGACACCCUACACUUCUGCCCCGCACCCACUGCUAAGAUGCUCAGACUUCUGCAGGAAUAUGUUCAUAGUCACUCUUGGACUUUUGAUGAGAUCAAAGGAACUGGCGUGUUUCCUCUUCUCAGAUAACAGCUGCUGCAGCCAUCCUGAUGCCAGCCUCAGGAGGAAGCCAAUUCAAAAAACUGGGCAAAGAUGAGAGAAACACAGAGAAGUGCUUUGGAUAAAGACACUUGGUUAAGCCAUUGUUGAAGACCACCCUGCCCCUGGCCUUCCAGGCAUCAGCCAAGCAGUAUACCUGCUUGUAUGUUUCAAGUUGGAUAUAUAUUCAAGCUUUGUGAAGGAGAAGAAUGUGCAUGUUGAGGAAGAAAAAGUCAGACGGACAUGGAGAGAAACAUACAAUAUUGGGGAGCAAUCCAGGAGGAGUGUAGUGUGUUAAACAAGACUCUUUCGAUGGCUGAGUUUUGUUGUUAGGGCAGAUGAGUAUUUAACAAGAAGGUAUCUUUUUGAAGAAGAGUGUUUUCUACUUUUCCAUUUCUACACUUUAUAAGAUAAAGCUUUUGCUAUUAAAAAAAGCAUAACAUCAAAAUAAAAACAAGAGUUAAUAUGUAAUUUUAAAAGCUGUAUUUGCAGAGAUUUUUUUUUGAGCUAUGUAUUAUUUCAUCAUACUAGUGGAGACAAACCAAAUUUCAUUAAUGUGGUGGAAUCUUUUUAUUUAUAAAUAUUAUCCCAUCUUGUCCCAGAAAGGACUGGAGUGGCAGCAUUUGAUUAUUUCAUUGGAAUAAUAGCUUAUCACAAUCAAGAAAAAGUUUUUGUUAAAUGUUUAUCUUGUUUCUCGUGAUGCCAAGUGAAAAGAAAUUAUGAAUUUCACAGAAACUUUUACAUUUCAAAAGUUUGUAAUUCUUCUAAAGAGAAUGCAUUAUAUAAAAAUGUUAGUUUUGGCUUUCCAAACUUUUACUGAUUUUGUUAGCCUUCUUAUAGAAAAAGCAUGGAAGUCUUUUUAAAUUGACAUUUGAUUUUCGAAGUCCAAGAAAAAGUUAAAAUAAACAAAUAGAAAGGGAGAUGGAAUCUGCACUAUCUUCCUAUGGAGAAGAGUGAGCUGAGCAAUGAACUGCAAACCCAUUGCCUUGGGAUCUAAAAUACAGGACGUCAAGCCCCAGCCAGCGCCGCUGAAUAGAGCCAGUGCUGCGGCUCCGUGUGCGUCAGAUCCCUCCGCGGCCGUGCCGGCGCCCUCCCUCCCGCGAUCGGCCUCCACAGAGAAAGCGCCUUCCAGCCAACCCGCGGCUCCGGCUCCGACAUCUUCUCCGCCUGGAAAUAAAUAAAUAAAUCGCGCCUCCGGACGGGGAGGCGGGGGCGCGGGCCUGGCCGCGCCGGGGCGGGCGCGCCGGGGCACGGG